Molecule: ribosomal RNA, 31 nt
Filed under: Mucor janssenii
Lineage: Eukaryota; Fungi; Mucoromycota; Mucoromycetes; Mucorales; Mucoraceae
Description: partial 28S ribosomal RNA
Source: RNAcentral
AAUUGAUCUGAAAUGCAGGGUGGAAUAUCCC